RNAcentral lists this ribosomal RNA (253 nucleotides) under uncultured bacterium. RNAcentral describes it as "partial 16S ribosomal RNA". It matches the Rfam family "Bacterial small subunit ribosomal RNA", at positions 524 to 776 of the family's 1533-position model. The record is from RNAcentral.
UACGGAGGGGACUAGCGUUGUUCGGAAUUACUGGGCGUAAAGCGCGCGUAGGCGGAUUUGCAAGUCGGGGGUGAAAGCCCGAGGCUCAACCUCGGAACUGCCCUCGAUACUGCAAAUCUCGAGUCCGAGAGAGGUGAGUGGAAUUCCUAGUGUAGAGGUGAAAUUCGUAGAUAUUAGGAAGAACACCAGUGGCGAAGGCGGCUCACUGGCUCGGUACUGAUGCUGAGGCGCGAAAGCGUGGGGAGCAAACAGG